This 465-nucleotide ribosomal RNA is filed under the name uncultured bacterium. Its description in RNAcentral is "partial 16S ribosomal RNA". It matches the Rfam family "Bacterial small subunit ribosomal RNA", at positions 338 to 795 of the family's 1533-position model. The record is from RNAcentral.
CCUACGGGUGGCAGCAGUGGGGAAUAUUGCGCAAUGGGCGAAAGCCUGACGCAGCGACGCCGCGUGAGGGAUGAAGGUCUUCGGAUCGUAAACCUCUGUCAGCAGGGAAGAACGGUCACUGUGCUAAUCAGCAGUGAAUUGACGGUACCUGCAAAGGAAGCACCGGCUAACUACGUGCCAGCAGCCGCGGUAAUACGGAGGGUGCGAGCGUUAAUCGGAAUUACUGGGCGUAAAGCGCUCGUAGGCGGGAUGGCAAGUCAAGGGUGAAAGCCCCGCGCUCAACGUGGGAACUGCCUUUGAAACUGGGAAACUGGAGUGUGUGAGAGGAUAGUGGAAUUCCAGGUGUAGGAGUGAAAUCCGUAGAUAUCUGGAGGAACAUCAGUGGCGAAGGCGACUAUCUGGCCCAUAACUGACGCUGAGGAGCGAAAGCGUGGGUAGCAAACAGGAUUAGAUACCCUGGUAGUC